ACAGGUGCUGCAUGGCUGCGUCAGCUCGUGUCGUGAGAUGUUGGGUUAAGGUCCGUAACGAGCGCAACCCUUGUCCUUAGUUACCAGCACGUUAUGGUGGGCACUCUAAGGAGACUGCCGGUGACAAACCGGAGGAAGGUGGGGGAUGACGUCAAGUCAUCAUGGCCCUUACGGCCUGGGCUACACACGUGCUACAAUGGUCGGUACAAAGGGUUGCCAAGCCGCGAGGUGGAGCUAAUCCCAUAAAACCGAUCGUAGUCCGGAUCGCAGUCUGCAACUCGACUGCGUGAAGUCGGAAUCGCUAGUAAUCGUGAAUCAGAAUGUCACGGUGAAUACGUUCCCGGGCCUU
RNAcentral lists this ribosomal RNA (349 nucleotides) under uncultured Pseudomonas sp. RNAcentral describes it as "bacterial SSU rRNA". It matches the Rfam family "Bacterial small subunit ribosomal RNA", at positions 1034 to 1382 of the family's 1533-position model. Lineage: Bacteria; Pseudomonadati; Pseudomonadota; Gammaproteobacteria; Pseudomonadales; Pseudomonadaceae. The record is from RNAcentral.